RNAcentral lists this ribosomal RNA (424 nucleotides) under uncultured bacterium. Its description in RNAcentral is "bacterial SSU rRNA". It matches the Rfam family "Bacterial small subunit ribosomal RNA", at positions 358 to 773 of the family's 1533-position model. The record is from RNAcentral.
GGAAUAUUGGACAAUGGGGGCAACCCUGAUCCAGCCAUGCCGCGUGUGUGAAGAAGGCCUUUUGGUUGUAAAGCACUUUAAGCAGGGAGGAGAGGCUAAUGGUUAAUACCCAUUAGAUUAGACGUUACCUGCAGAAUAAGCACCGGCUAACUCUGUGCCAGCAGCCGCGGUAAUACAGAGGGUGCGAGCGUUAAUCGGAAUUACUGGGCGUAAAGCGAGUGUAGGUGGCUCAUUAAGUCACAUGUGAAAUCCCCGGGCUUAACCUGGGAACUGCAUGUGAUACUGGUGGUGCUAGAAUAUGUGAGAGGGAAGUAGAAUUCCAGGUGUAGCGGUGAAAUGCGUAGAGAUCUGGAGGAAUACCGAUGGCGAAGGCAGCUUCCUGGCAUAAUAUUGACACUGAGAUUCGAAAGCGUGGGUAGCAAAC